Molecule: ribosomal RNA, 460 nt
Filed under: uncultured bacterium
Lineage: Bacteria
Description: partial 16S ribosomal RNA
Rfam family: Bacterial small subunit ribosomal RNA
Source: RNAcentral
CCUACGGGCGGCAGCAGUGAGGAAUAUUGGUCAAUGGCCGGAAGGCUGAACCAGCCAUGCCGCGUGAAGGUCAGUGCCCUAUGGGCGUUAAACUUCUUUUGUGCGGGAGCAAUAAUGGUCACGUGUGGCCAGACGAGAGUACCGUACGAAUAAGCAUCGGCUAACUCCGUGCCAGCAGCCGCGGUAAUACGGGGGAUGCAAGCGUUAUCCGGAUUUAUUGGGUUUAAAGGGUGCGUAGGCUGGGAGGUAAGUCAGCGGUGAAAUGCCCCCGCUCAACGGGGUGAAGUGCCAUUGAUACUGCCUGGCUGGAAUGCGGAUGCCGUGGGAGGAAUGUGUGGUGUAGCGGUGAAAUGCAUAGAUAUCACACAGAACACCGAUUGCGAAGGCAUCUCACGAAUCCGCGAUUGACGCUGAUGCACGAAAGCGUGGGUAUCAAACAGGAUUAGAUACCCUAGUAGUC